This 465-nucleotide ribosomal RNA is filed under the name uncultured bacterium. Its description in RNAcentral is "partial 16S ribosomal RNA". It matches the Rfam family "Bacterial small subunit ribosomal RNA", at positions 338 to 795 of the family's 1533-position model. The record is from RNAcentral.
CCUACGGGAGGCUGCAGUGGGGAAUAUUGCGCAAUGGGCGAAAGCCUGACGCAGCGACGCCGCGUGAGGGAUGAAGGUCUUCUGAUCGGAAACCUCUGUCAGCAGGGAAGAACGGUCACUGUGCUAAUCAGCAGUGCAUUGACGGUACCUGCAAAGGAAGCACCGGCUAACUCCGUGCCAGCAGCCGCGAUAAUACGGAGGGGGCGAGCGUUAAUCGGAAUUACUGGGCGUAAAGCGCGCGUAGGCGGUAUGUCAAGUCAAGGGUGAAAUCCCCGCGCUCAACGUGGGAACUGCCUUUGAAACUGGCAAACUGGAGUGUGUGAGAGGAUAGUGGAAUUCCAGGUGUAGGAGUGAAAUCCGUAGAUAUCGGGAGGAACAUCAGUGGCGAAGGCGACUAUCUGGCACAUAACUGACGCUGAGGAGCGAAAGCGUGGGUAGCAAACAGGAUUAGAUACCCCAGUAGUC